AUGCCGAGUGGGGACCAGGUCGGUGCGUAUCGGUUCAUGACGUGCCCCUCUUUGUCAACUAGAAACUUGGUGAAGUUCCAUUUGAUACGCUCUCCAAAUAGACCGCCUCUCUCUGAUUUCAAGAACUUGUACAGCAGGGCAGCAUUGUUGCCAUUCACGUCGACCUUGCGAAAAAUAGGAAACUCUGCUUGGAAGCGAUUGCAAGCAAACUCCACAAUCUUCUCAUCACUAUCUGGUUCCUGCCCGGCAAACUGA
RNAcentral lists this ribosomal RNA (255 nucleotides) under Triticum aestivum (bread wheat). RNAcentral's name for it is "partial small subunit ribosomal RNA". The record is from RNAcentral. Lineage: Eukaryota; Viridiplantae; Streptophyta; Magnoliopsida; Poales; Poaceae.